RNAcentral lists this ribosomal RNA (419 nucleotides) under uncultured Methanomethylovorans sp. RNAcentral's name for it is "bacterial SSU rRNA". It matches the Rfam family "Archaeal small subunit ribosomal RNA", at positions 918 to 1338 of the family's 1478-position model. The record is from RNAcentral. Lineage: Archaea; Methanobacteriati; Methanobacteriota; Methanomicrobia; Methanosarcinales; Methanosarcinaceae.
ACGACGAACUCACCGGGGGCGACAGCAAUAUGUAGUCAAGCUAAAGACUUUACCAGAAUCGCUGAGAGGAGGUGCAUGGCCGUCGUCAGUUCGUACUGUGAAGCAUCCUGUUAAGUCAGGCAACGAGCGAGACCCGUGCCCACUGUUGCCAGCAUGUCCUUCGGGAUGAUGGGUACUCUGUGGGACCGCCGAUGCUAAAUCGGAGGAAGGUGCGGGCUACGGUAGGUCAGUAUGCCCCGAAUCUCCCGGGCUACACGCGGGCUACAAUGACUGGGACAAUGGGCUCCUACCCCGAAAGGGGAUGGUAAUCUCAUAAACCCAGCCUUAGUUCGGAUCGAGGGCUGUAACCCGCCCUCGUGAAGCUGGAAUCCGUAGUAAUCGCGUUUCAACAUAGCGCGGUGAAUACGUCCCUGCUCCUU